GUGGGUGUGUUUUCCAUUACUCUUUCAUUUUACUUGGUUCGAUGCUUAAUGCUGUAGAAAUGGAUGCAUGAGUUGUUUCUUUCUAUAUGUGUUCAGUGAGCUUGUAGCGGACUUUCAUCCCAUCCUCAUCAAACACACGCAGACCCUUGUUCCGCCCCUUGUGGUUCUUUUCAGAUUUCAGGCAUGGCGGCAUCCCAAGUGGAAACAAGUGCUAAGACAAAAUCUGAAAAGGGUUAGGUUCGGGUAAGACAUGCCUUGCAUUGGGGCAGGGUGAGUGCACUGAAUAAUGAGUUGUCGGAACGACAGCUCCAUAAAUUGGAAACUACCCCAUUCAAUUUGAUGUUGUCUAGGAUGGGCACAAAAAACUAUCCGUGUCAGCAAUUUAUUGUUACUGGAGCUUGUGAGCCGGUAAAAAUUUCUUUCGAAUAUAUAUAUAUAAAUUUUGAUUGUGUUGAAUUAAUUUUUUUUUUUUUUGCCUUUUUUUACUGUAGUUGGAAACCAGAAUGUCGGUCAUUUCUAAUUCUAGAUAGAUUGAUCAAAUUU
Molecule: non-coding RNA, 543 nt
Organism: Cajanus cajan (pigeon pea)
Lineage: Eukaryota; Viridiplantae; Streptophyta; Magnoliopsida; Fabales; Fabaceae
Source: RefSeq, a predicted model, not a curated record